AUGCCAUUUACUAGGGCCAACGGAGUGGCGCGUUUACUUGUCAGUGUGGCUAAUAUUGAGUUCUUGCCGAAUGUGGUGCCUUGGACGUACGAUGGUGUUAUGUAUCAGUUGGACGUUCUGUAUGAGGAUCCUAAUUUGUUCGACGAGUUUGAGGAUGACAACCCUAUGGACAUGACCGAGGGAGGAGGUGCCCCGGGAAACCAGGACGAUUCGGCUAUGGGUGAUGAUAACGGGGCCAAGGGUCCGGUAGGUCCGUCUGAGUCUACUAAUAUUGCUCCUGCUAGUUCUUCUGGGGUUGCUCCGAUGUCCACGUUGCAGCUUGGGUCCUUGGGACCUUUCUCUGCUCCGCCUCGCCUUCGGGGUGUUGAUCCGGGUUCCGUGGAUCCCAUGGCUCCUCUUUGUGCGCCUACGGUUGAGGUGGGAGGUCCCGAGGGGCAGGCGGCCCUUCCCACAUCUCCUACUUUGAUGUUGCCUACGGUGGAUGGUGCAGCGCUUGCGGCCGUGGCUAGAGGUGAUGGGCAGGAGGCCCGGUCUCCCGUGAUACAGUCACCGCCGGCGCCCCCCGAGGACUCGGCGAUCUUCUCCACAUCGCCGCGCGCGGGAGGAGGGGUGGCCUCGCAGGUGGCCGCCAUCCCUCUUUGCCCCGAUGCGGUGGGCGGGUCAGGUGGUGCGCCCAUCUCCCCGGAUCCCUCUCCGGAGCGCCGUGCACAGGUCUCCCCCGCUCCUGCUGCCGGCGGUUCGCCCGUGGUCAGGACGCGGGUGUCGUCGCUGUGUUGUUCUCCUGCCCCGGUGGCUAAGGCCCGGGGUGUCGCUACUGGGGGAGGGGCAGGAGGCCUUUCCCCUAGCAGAGCUUCACGCGAGGAGGUCACCGCCUUUGGCGGUAUCCCGGACCCAGUCUCCCAGGGGAGGCGGGUCAGCGGGAGGCUGCAGGAGCAGCCGGACGUUGAUGACAUGCAGCUGAGGGCUGCUUUGAGAGCUGCCAAGCUGCGCAACAUCGAAUCCUCCACUGGUAUGUCGGUUGAUCAGUCCAAUUCCAUUUUGCAUUUUUCUGAUGCUGAAAUUAUUCAUAAUGCAAAUCAAAUAGGAGUUUCACUUGGUAACAAUGAGUUUGAGGUCUCUAGGUCGGUUAAUGACAUUCUUGAUUUGGAAGCUGAUCGUGCGGUAGAUAUGAUCCGUCACAUUGCUGCUAUUAAACUUAUGAACGACUCGGAGAUAGAGGCACUGGGGGUUAGGGUUCUUGAUGGCUUGUGUGCCGAUCUUGACCCUGCACUACCCGAGACGGAGGAGGAUACCAUUCCUGAGGUGUCCCUCUAUGUAGAUGAGCCCGAGGCGAUAGAAGCAGAGAAUGCCUGUGUUGACCAGGUUGAUGGUCACCAUAAGCCAAAGCGGACGUGGAAACGGAAGGUUUAUCCAGUCUCAGCUGCACGUAGGAGUUCUAGGAUCCGCACUGCAAAAAAAAUUUAUGAUGAUUUAUGA
RNAcentral lists this ribosomal RNA (1476 nucleotides) under Triticum aestivum (bread wheat). RNAcentral's name for it is "partial small subunit ribosomal RNA". Lineage: Eukaryota; Viridiplantae; Streptophyta; Magnoliopsida; Poales; Poaceae. The record is from RNAcentral.